GGAGGUGAGGGCGAUCUGGCUGUGACAUCUGUCACUGCCUUGAUUCGACCAGGGUUGAUUCGGCUGUUUUGGCUGGCGAGACGGGUGUCCCCUUACUCCCUCACUGCUGCUUGUGCAUCCCUCAGAAGCUGCGCUCAGAUGGCCUUCCAGAAAAGAGGCAGAGAGACGACCAUUCUUCUGUUGAGGGUUUGCAAGUAGCUGCACUCCUUUGCUAGAACCUUCACACAACCUCUCACAAAUAAUGCAAUAAAAACAUGAGGGAAGUGGCUAAGAUAUAGUGAAAUAGGAUUGGUUAUGUUUACAUAAUUUCUGAACUU
RNAcentral lists this small nuclear RNA (317 nucleotides) under Sorex araneus (European shrew). RNAcentral's name for it is "7SK RNA (ENSSARG00000017651.1)". It matches the Rfam family "7SK RNA". Rfam says of the family: 7SK was discovered as an abundant small nuclear RNA in the mid-70s but a possible function has only recently been suggested. Two independent studies have found that 7SK RNA binds the CDK9/cyclin T complex (known as elongation factor P-TEFb). The record is from RNAcentral. Lineage: Eukaryota; Metazoa; Chordata; Mammalia; Eulipotyphla; Soricidae.